Trifolium pratense (red clover) is the source of this 4465-nucleotide RNA transcript. It is a transcript of the gene named putative disease resistance protein At5g05400, with no coding region annotated. The transcript has 4 exons. The record is from RefSeq and is a predicted model, not a curated record. Lineage: Eukaryota; Viridiplantae; Streptophyta; Magnoliopsida; Fabales; Fabaceae.
CACUUAAAUCAUAAUAGAGUACUAGUACCGUAGUUGAGAUAAUAAUUGACUGAAGCUGAAUCGUCACUCGACUUUGUUGUCUGAAACAUAAUCAUAGAAGAAAGAGAACCAUAAAAUUUAAUUCCCUGCCAAAUCAAUCCAACGGAGCACCUCCUUCACCAGUCCAGCACGAGAUAAGAUCACCUUUGAUAAUUUGAUGGCGGAUGUUGCUAUCUCGAUUGUGGCUAGUUUGGUUGAACGUUUGCUUGGACCGGCAAUACGCGAAGGAAAAUGUUUUCUUUGCGUUAAUAAAUUUAUCGGGGAUCUUGAGAAUGAAAAGCAAGAGCUAGUAAUCGAAAGAGAUAACUUGUUGGAUCGUGUUGAACAAGCCAAGCAUAGAACUGAAGAAAUUGAGAAACCAGUGGAAAUGUGGCUAAAUGAUGUGAAAAAUCUAUUGGAACAGGUUGAAGAUUUAGAACAGAUGAUGAGAGAAAAUACUAGUUGCUUUCAAGGGCAGUGUCCAACUUGGAAAAGAUACCGUUUAUGCAAGCAAAUAGUAAAGAAGAUAGAGUUAAUAGGAAAAUUCAAAGGCAAAAGCAAUAUUCAACCAUUUUCUCACCGUGCUCCUCUUCCUGGCAUACAGUACCCAUCAUCAGAGAACUUUAUUUAUUUUGAAUCAACAAAAGUUGCUAAUAGUGAACUAUUGGAGGCACUUCAAGAUGAUGACAUCUACAUGAUAGGAGUGUAUGGAAUGGGCGGAACAGGGAAGACAACUCUUGUAACAGAAGUGGCUAAGAAGGUUGAAGCAUCAAAGAUUUUUGACAAGGCUAUAUUAGUUACAGUGUCUCAAACUCCAAACAUUAGAGAUAUUCAAGGGAGAGUGGCUGAUGUUUUGAACUUGAAAUUGGAGGAAGAAAGUGACGAGGGAAGAGCACAACGUCUCUGGUUGAAUUUGAAAGAAAAAAAGAGGAUGCUCGUAAUAAUAGACGACUUAUGGAGAGAGUUUAAUUUGAACGAUAUAGGGAUUCACUUGGACAACCAUAACAAGGGUGCAUGGAAGAUCCUUGUAACCACUCGUAAUCAACAUAUAUGUGAUUUGAUGCAUUGUCAAAAGAAGAUCCAUCUAGAACUCUUAUCUGAAGAUGAGUCUUGGACUUUGUUCAAAAAACAUGCACAUAUUGAUGAAACAUUCUCCAAGUCGUUGGAUGGUGUUCCACAAAAAAUUUGCCGUGAAUGUAAAGGACUACCUAUAGCAAUCAAAGCGGUGGGAUCUUCUUUGAAAGGAAAAUCCGAUGCUGAAUGGAAGGUUGCAUUUCAUAGGUUGACACAUUCAGAGACCAUUGACGAUCAUAUGGACGGAGUGGGAGAUGCUUUAAGUUGUCUGAAAUUAAGCUAUGAUUAUUUAUCAUACAAAGAAAAGCUUAUCUUCUUACUGUGUUCUAUGUUUCCAGAAGAUUAUAAAAUCUCAAUAGAAGAUUUGAUCCGAUAUGCAGUCGGACUUGGACUAGGAGGAGAAUUUCCGCUAGACUCGGCAAGAGAUGAGAUCGAAGCAACGACUAACAGACUUUUGCAAUCAUGUUUGUUGAUGAAUGCCGGGGAAAGCAAAGAGUGCGUGAAGAUGCACGACACAGUUCGCGACACAGCCUUAUGGAUUGCAAAGAGAUCAGAGAAUCACAAAAUCGUGGUAAAUGUUGACAAACAAGUUAGCGAAUUGGUAAUGGAUGAUAAUAUAAUAGAUUGUUUUGCGCUAUCCUCGUGGUAUGACAAGCAAGAUCAAAAAUUUCAUCAAUUGCAUGCUCCAAACCUUGAAAUUUUAUUGGUACAUUCUAGGAGGAGGAAAUCCUUUGAUUUAUCCCGUGCAACCUUUCAAGGAGUGAAAGGGCUGAAGGUUUUUUCUCUAAUCUAUAAUGGGUAUGGUGAUCCAUCAUUAUCAUUGCCAUCUUCAACCCAUUCAUUGACAAAUCUUCGAACUCUACGCUUGAAUGGAUGGAAGUUAGAUAACAUUCUUUUCAUAACAAACUUAACAAGACUUGAGAUUCUUGACUUGCGACAUUGUAUCAUCAAUGAACUUCCUAAAGAAAUAGGAAAACUAAACAGAUUGAAGCUUCUAGAUAUGUCAUAUUGUCGUUUUCUUGAAGAAAACUAUAAUGCAGCAAUAGGAAAAUUGUCAAAAUUGGAAGAGUUAUAUGCUUUCAAAUGCAUGCCAAAAGAGUACAUUUAUCAGUGUGCUGUGGACAUUAUUACUCUUCCAAGGUUGCAAAGGUUUGUAAUACAUGCUGACCGUAGUAGAGAUUUUGCAAAAACCUCCAGACAUUUAGAAGUAAUGGAUUUUAAUAUCUCCAAUAUGAAGGCUUCUACGAAGAAUCUUCUUCAAAUAGCCGAAACAGUUCAUUUCAUAAAUCUUCAUGGAGGAUGUAAAACUAUCAUGCCAGACAUGAUUGGAGUUAUGGGAGGUGUGAGUUGUUUUAAAUCUCUUUGUCUCGAAGGUUGCUCAGAGAUUGAAUACAUCUUCAAUACAGCCUCUGAUUCCAAGCUAGAGUGUCUGGUUCCUGAGUUGGUAGAAUUGGUAUUGCUAAGAUUAGAAAACUUGGAAGAAUUGUGUCGUGGUCCACCUCAACACGUGUUAAGCUUCUUUGAGAGAUUAGAAAAACUUGAAAUACAACAAUGUUUGAAGUUACACAAUAUAUUUCCACAGGACUGUAACUUACGAAAUCUUAAAGUCCUGAAAAUAGAAAACAAUGUGUUCGGUGAAGCUCUCUUCUCGAUAUCUGUUGCCCACAAUCUACAACAACUAGAAGUGCUAGAAGUAGCACAAUGUGAUGAACUGAAGUUUAUAAUUGCCACCGGAAGUGAGGAUGGUUCUAAUUCAAACAAUGAAAUAUUUCAGACUCCGAUAAAGAGUUCUCAUUUUGUGAUGUCUGGAUUGAAGAAACUUCACAUUUCUAAGUGUAAGAAGUUAGAGUCGUUAUUACCAAUCUGUUGUGUUGAAGGAUUUGCACCACUGGAAGAGAUACAAAUAAAGAAGGCUCCUCAUUUGAAACUUGUAUUUGGUGAAUGUGAUCACCAAAAUCAUUCCUCUCAACAAUAUCCAAAUCAGAACUUGCAUCCUUAUUUGAAACGUCUCAAACUCACAGAUCUUGAUAAUCUCAUUGGAAUAUGUCCUGAAAACAAUUGUGAAAAAUGGCCUUCUUCGACAGUACUAAUUGUGGAGAAUUGCCCGAAGUUGAGUGCAUCAUGGAUCGCUACAUUGGCCGGCUCUGAGGAUAGAGAAAAAGUUGUCAAGAUAGAAAAAAUGACCUUAAGUGGUUUUUCUGGAUUGAGCCUCAUAUCAAGGGUAGGUCCUUCUCCAAGACAUAUUUUGAAUCUCCAUUGUCUACAAAGAUUAGCAGUGAGCAAUUGUAAUAACUUGAGAUCUCUAUUCUCAAUGGAGCAGCUACAUAGAAGCCUACCAGAGUUGACAUCGUUUCGAGUAUACUCCUGCCAUGAAUUAGAACAAAUCAUUGAAGAAAGUGAAAAGUUUGUGUCCAAUACUGAAGUGUGUUUUCCAAAGCUAAAAGAUAUUAAGAUUGUAAAUUGCAAAAAAAUGAAAAGUCUUUUCUCUGUUGCUAUGAUUAGAAUGCUUCCAAAGUUAAGCACUCUUGAAAUGUCAGAGGUUACUCAACUAGAAGAAGUUUUUAAGGGAGGCAACACUAUCACCAAUGAUGUUGCAAUUGGACUUGUAAACUUAUCAAAAAUAGAACUGCAUAAGUUGCCAAGUUUUGUUGAUAUUUGCAAGGGUUUUAAGUUACAGACUCCGAAAAUUAAACAUCUUGACAUAGUUGAAUGCCCGAGCAUAUCUCCAAGUUUGAGAGAAAUUCAGGUGAAUACUCCUCGACAAACAAGGUUUACUUACGCAAAUUCUCUUUAGUUUUUAUAUACAUAUUUCAAUAAAAGAAUUCCAAUGAAUGUGCAAUUAGAAGUCCUUGCACGUUUUUUUUUAACUUCUCUUUAGUCUUUAAUUUUUAUGUGUUUUGGUUCAAUUUUUAGAACGAAGAGAAAGAGAGGGGAGCAAAAUCCCUUAUAAGCUCACUUUUUGCUUUCCCUAAAUGGAGGUGUUUGGAGGGGAGUGGAAGAGAGAAGAUGUAUUGUUUAUGAAUUUAUUACAUUUUCAAGUUUGUUUUUCUUUAGGAUAAUGUUUUAUUGUUUAUAUAUAUAUAAAUUAAUAUUUAUUAAAAAUUAUUUUAUAAAUAUUGUUUUUGCUAGAACGUUAUGUAAAAUUGCUACUAACCAAGGUAAUAAAAACCGGAACGGACUGAUCGGUUUGACCGGGAAUCGGACUUGUAUCCGGUCCGAGCGCUGUGCAUGGGAACCAGAAUUAAAACCGUAAAACCGACGUGGAACCAGUAAAAGUCGGCGAUCUAGACAGUUUGGCAGGUACAACUAGAAGAAACCAAGAGAGAAGGAAAAGAUGAUUGAAGACUUGAUCUUUAUCUACCAACUGUGAGAU